Molecule: ribosomal RNA, 394 nt
Filed under: uncultured fungus
Lineage: Eukaryota; Fungi
Description: partial small subunit ribosomal RNA
Rfam family: Eukaryotic small subunit ribosomal RNA
Source: RNAcentral
GCUUGUCUCAAAGAUUAAGCCAUGCAUGUCUAAGUACAAGCCUCAGUAAGGUGAAACCGCGAAUGGCUCAUUAAAUCACACCUAAUCUACUGGAAAGUUACUAGUUACUUGGAUAACUGAGGUAAUUCUUGAGCUAAUACAUGCGUAAAAUCCCGACUCACGAAGGGAUGUAUUUAUUAGAUAAAAAACCGAUGCCUUCGGGCUUUGUGUUGACUCAUAGUAACUGUUCGAAUCUCACGCGCAAGCAGGAGAUAGUUCAUUCAAAUUUCUGCCCUAUCAGCUUUCGACGGUAGUGUAGUGGACUACCGUGGCCGUAACGGGUGACGGAGAAUUAGGGUUCGAUUCCGGAGAGGGAGCCUGAGAAACGGCUACCACAUCCAAGGAAGGCAGCAGG